RNAcentral lists this ribosomal RNA (253 nucleotides) under uncultured bacterium. RNAcentral describes it as "partial 16S ribosomal RNA". It matches the Rfam family "Bacterial small subunit ribosomal RNA", at positions 524 to 776 of the family's 1533-position model. The record is from RNAcentral.
UACAGAGGUCUCAAGCGUUGUUCGGAUUCAUUGGGCGUAAAGGGUGUGUAGGUGGCGCCGUAAGUCGGGUGUGAAAUUUCGGAGCUUAACUCCGAAACUGCAUUCGAUACUGCGGUGCUUGUGGACUGGAGAGGAGACUGGAAUUCAUGGUGUAGCAGUGAAAUGCGUAGAGAUCAUGAGGAAGACCAGUGGCGAAGGCGGGUCUCUGGACAGUUCCUGACACUGAGACACGAAGGCCAGGGGAGCAAACGGG